This is a long non-coding RNA of Gallus gallus (chicken), 517 nucleotides long. NCBI's taxonomy places the organism in Eukaryota, Metazoa, Chordata, Aves, Galliformes, Phasianidae. The record is from Ensembl.
CUUCUAAUUUUGAGACAGAUUGAACAAUUGGAAAGUAUGAUCAGCUUUAGAAAAUUAAAAUGGAAAAUUAUCAGAACGGAAGAAUGAACCAUUUUCAUCCAUGACUUCACAUGGACUGUUUGAGUAUAGAGCCAGGUGAAAUUGAAUUGUGAAUGAAAGUAUCUAGAAAUCCCAGAUGAGACUUUUAAAUCCAAGUAAGUUUGAAGCCACUUGAACUUUUCUAAGAUUCACUCCAGCAGCUUAUUUGCACUGAACACAGAAGUCUGAGGCAAGAAUGAGAAGAGACUAAAAUGCACCAUAGGUCUAAGCCAGAAGCUUUGAACUCAGGCAAGGAGAAAAGUAUCAUCUGCAGUGCAUCAGGGAAUGAGACCAGGAGUCUACUGUAAAUAGGCUCUCACUAAGAUCAGAGGAAUAAUGGUGAUAACCGGAUACUGCUUCUGUCAUAUCACAGUACGCUGUCACUCAUGUCCUCCCUUAAAACUAAUUAAUGGACCAUCCCAUAACAGUACGUGCUUCC